UACGUAGGGGGCUAGCGUUGUCCGGAAUCAUUGGGCGUAAAGAGCGUGUAGGCGGCCCGAUAAGUCUGCUGUGAAAGUCCAGGGCUCAACCCUGGAAUGCCGGUGGAUACUGUCGGGCUAGAGUUCGGAAGAGGCAAGUGGAAUUCCUGGUGUAGCGGUGGAAUGCGCAGAUAUCAGGAGGAACACCUAUAGCGAAGGCAGCUUGCUGGGACGACACUGACGCUGAGGCGCGAAAGCGUGGGGAGCAAACAGG
RNAcentral lists this ribosomal RNA (253 nucleotides) under uncultured bacterium. Its description in RNAcentral is "partial 16S ribosomal RNA". It matches the Rfam family "Bacterial small subunit ribosomal RNA", at positions 524 to 776 of the family's 1533-position model. The record is from RNAcentral.